UCCUACUUUAAUGUGCCAAAUGAGUGGAUAAGGAUGAUUGGUUGGCCAUUCAAAUUCAAAAUAAAGUUUGAAUUUGAAUGAGCAACCAAUCUUAGCACCUUGACCUUAUCCUCUUUUAGCAUCCCAUUUAUUACACGAAAAAAUGUUUCUCAUGAAAUCACUCAUGCACAAAUUAAGCCACACCCUCCUCUUCUCACGCCCUUAGUGGAUAGGAAUAAAUUGAUUUCCAUUUGAAUUCAAAAUUUGAUUUGAAUUCAAAUGUGCAAUUACUCAUCUUUAUCCUCUCACAUGGAUAAGACGUUUGACAUUGUUUUAAAAGGAGGAGAAGAG
RNAcentral lists this long non-coding RNA (330 nucleotides) under Elaeis guineensis (African oil palm). RNAcentral describes it as "long non-coding RNA (EGUI_LNC023424)". The record is from RNAcentral. Lineage: Eukaryota; Viridiplantae; Streptophyta; Magnoliopsida; Arecales; Arecaceae.